Molecule: ribosomal RNA, 429 nt
Filed under: Pseudomonadota bacterium
Lineage: Bacteria; Pseudomonadati; Pseudomonadota
Description: Proteobacteria bacterium partial 16S ribosomal RNA
Rfam family: Bacterial small subunit ribosomal RNA
Source: RNAcentral
UGGGGAAUAUUGGACAAUGGGCGAAAGCCUGAUCCAGCCAUGCCGCGUGUGUGAAGAAGGUCUUCGGAUUGUAAAGCACUUUAAGUUGGGAGGAAGGGCAGUAAGCGAAUACCUUGCUGUUUUGACGUUACCGACAGAAUAAGCACCGGCUAACUCUGUGCCAGCAGCCGCGGUAAUACAGAGGGUGCAAGCGUUAAUCGGGAUUACUGGGCGUAAAGCGCGCGUAGGUGGUUCGUUAAGUUGAAUGUGAAAGCCCCGGGGUCAACCUGGGGAAUGCAUACAAAACUGGCGAGCGAGAGGAGGGGAGAGGGUGGUGGGAAUUCCUGGGUAGCGGGGAAAAACGUUGAUAUAGGAAAGGACACCAGGGGGGGAGGCGACCACCUGGGCGCAUACUGGCACUGAGGUGCGAAAGCGUGGGGAGCAAACAGG